RNAcentral lists this ribosomal RNA (492 nucleotides) under uncultured bacterium. Its description in RNAcentral is "partial 16S ribosomal RNA". It matches the Rfam family "Bacterial small subunit ribosomal RNA", at positions 29 to 507 of the family's 1533-position model. The record is from RNAcentral.
AUUGAACGCUGGCGGCAUGCUUUACACAUGCAAGUCGAACGGUAACAGGCCUUCGGGUGCUGACGAGUGGCGAACGGGUGAGUAAUGCAUCGGAACGUACCCAGAGGUGGGGGAUAACGCAGCGAAAGCUGUGCUAAUACCGCAUGUGAUCUGAGGAUGAAAGCGGGGGACCGAGCAGCAAUGUUUGGCCUCGCGCCUUUGGAGCGGCCGAUGUCGGAUUAGCUAGUUGGUGGGGUAAAGGCCUACCAAGGCGACGAUCCGUAGCUGGUCUGAGAGGACGACCAGCCACACUGGGACUGAGACACGGCCCAGACUCCUACGGGAGGCAGCAGUGGGGAAUUUUGGACAAAGGGCGCAAGCCUGAUCCAGCAAUGCCGCAUGCGGGAAGAAGGCCUUCGGGUUGUAAACCGCUUUUGGCAGGAACGAAACGGUGUCCGCUAAUACCGGGCGCUAAUGACGGUACCUGCAGAAUAAGCACCGGCUAACUACGUG